Long non-coding RNA from Oncorhynchus gorbuscha (pink salmon), 410 nucleotides. RefSeq lists it as uncharacterized. The record is from RefSeq and is a predicted model, not a curated record. Lineage: Eukaryota; Metazoa; Chordata; Actinopteri; Salmoniformes; Salmonidae. The transcript has 3 exons.
AGGCUGGAGGAGCUACCGGAGGUGUAAUUUCAGACCCUGUAACUAUGCAGAAGGCUGUAACAGUCAAAUAUGCUGGCUUUGAUUAAUCACUUCAAAGAUGUUCCAAGGGAUUUGUAAAAAAAAAAAAAGGUAUCAUGGAAAGAAUUUGUUUAGAUCUCUAGGUACCACAAGGACCAUCGAAUGAGACUAGAAGCUAGAUACUAUUCAUAAUAGAACUUCAGGUGACCCCUCUGAGCUCUCGGCCUCCAUUGGCGCCUCAGGCAAACAACCAGCCCAUGUUCCCCCACCCUCUCCAGACCAGACUGACCGGUCAUAUACAUACGCAGACAUAGCAGGAAGUUGCAAUAGGCCCGUGCAACCCAAGCUUCAUCAGCAAUGCUUUUCCAAUAGUCUUGAAGGAGAUCCCACAA